GAUGAACGCUGGCGGUAUGCUUAACACAUGCAAGUCGAACGGACUCUUCGGAGUUAGUGGCGGACGGGUGAGUAACGCGUGAGAAUCUGGCUUUGGGUUCGGGACAACCACUGGAAACGGUGGCUAAUACCGGAUGUGCCGAGAGGUAAAAGAGAAAUUGCCUGAAGAUGAGCUCGCGUCUGAUUAGCUAGUUGGUGAGGUAAAGGCUCACCAAGGCAGCGAUCAGUAGCUGGUCUGAGAGGAUGACCAGCCACACUGGGACUGAGACACGGCCCAGACUCCUACGGGAGGCAGCAGUGGGGAAGUUUCCGCAAUGGGCGAAAGACUGACGGAGCAAUACCGCGUGAGGGAAGAAGGCUCUUGGGUUGUAAACCUCUUUUCUUAGGGAAGAACAAAAUGACGGUACCUAAGGAAUCAGCAUCGGCUAACUCCGUG
This 435-nucleotide ribosomal RNA is filed under the name uncultured bacterium. RNAcentral describes it as "partial 16S ribosomal RNA". It matches the Rfam family "Bacterial small subunit ribosomal RNA", at positions 28 to 507 of the family's 1533-position model. The record is from RNAcentral.